This 398-nucleotide ribosomal RNA is filed under the name uncultured bacterium. RNAcentral's name for it is "bacterial SSU rRNA". It matches the Rfam family "Bacterial small subunit ribosomal RNA", at positions 359 to 756 of the family's 1533-position model. The record is from RNAcentral.
CAUCAUCGCUGGGCGAAGCCUGAGCAGCGACGCCGCGUGGGGGAAGAAGGCCUUAGGGUUGUAAACCUCUUUCAGGUGGGACGAAGCCACUCGGGUUAAUAGCCCAGAGGGUGACGGUACCGCCAGAAGAAGCCCCGGCUAACUACGUGCCAGCAGCCGCGGUAAUACGUAGGGGGCAAGCGUUGUCCGGAUUUAUUGGGCGUAAAGAGCGUAUAGGCGGCCAGGUAGGUGGGUUGUGAAAACUGGAGGCUCAACCUUCAGACGUCGACCCAAACCCCCUGGCUAGAGUCCGGAAGAGGAGAGUGGAAUUCCUGGUGUAGCGGUGGAAUGCGCAGAUAUCAGGAAGAACACCCGUGGCGAAGGCGGCUCUCUGGGACGGUACUGACGCUGAGACGCGA